UCUGGUUGAUCCUGCCUGAACUGAUGUGUUCAUUUCAAAGAUUAAGCCAUGCAUGUAUAAGUUUAAUCGUUUUAACGAGAAACCGCGAACGGCUCAUUACAAUGGCCAUGAUUUACUUGAUCUUGAUUAUCUAAAUGGAUAACUGUGGAAAAGCUAGAGCUAAUACAUGCACCAAAGCUUUGUCCUCUCGGAAAAGCGCAUUUAUUAGAACAAAACCACGCGGCUUCGGCUGCUUCUUGUUGACUCAGAAUAACUAAGCUGACCGCAUGGCCUUGUGCCGGCGGCGUGUCUUUCAAGCGUCCACUUUAUCAACUUGACGGGAGCAUAAUCGACUCCCGUGGUGGUGACGGAUAACGGAGGAUCAGGGUUCGACUCCGGAGAAGGGGCCUGAGAAAUGGCCACUACGUCUAAGGAUGGCAGCAGGCGCGCAAAUUACCCACUCUCGGCUCGAGGAGGUAGUGACGAGAAAUAACGAGAUCGUUCUCUUUGAGGCCGGUCAUCGGAAUGGGUACAAUUUAAACCCUUUAACGAGUAUCAAGCAGAGGGCAAGUCUGGUGCCAGCAGCCGCGGUAAUUCCAGCUCUGCUAAUACAUAGAAUUAUUGCUGCGGUUAAAAAGCUCGUAGUUGGAUUCGUAUCGGUACCCUGGAACCCUCCGGGUGUUUCUGGGUGUUAUCGAUUUGUCGUAAUGUUCGGUUUUGAGUCCUUAACAGGAUUCUUAACAGGCAUUGCAAGUUUACUUUGAACAAAUCAGAGUGCUUCAAACAGGCGUUUUCGCUUGAAUGAUCGUGCAUGGAAUAAUAGAAAACGAUUUCGGUUCAGUUUUAUUGGUUUUACGGACUGAGAUAAUGGUUAACAGAGACAAACGGGGGCAUUUGUAUGGCCCCGUGAGAGGUGAAAUUCUUGGACCGUGGCCAGACAAACUACAGCGAAACAUUUGCCAAGAAUGUCUUCAUUAAUCAAGAACGAAAGUCAGAGGUUCGAAGGCGAUCAGAUACCGCCCUAGUUCUGACCGUAAACGAUGCCAACUAGCGAUCCGCCGAUGGAAAUUAUAUUGCCUUGGUGGGGAGCUUCCCGGAAACGAAAGUCUUCCGGUUCCGGGGGAAGUAUGGUUGCAAAGCUGAAACUUAAAGGAAUUGACGGAAGGGCACCACCAGGAGUGGAGCCUGCGGCUUAAUUUGACUCAACACGGGGAAACUCACCCGGCCCGGACACUGUGAGGAUUGACAGAUUGAUAGCUUUUUCAUGAUUCAGUGGAUGGUGGUGCAUGGCCGUUCUUAGUUCGUGGAGUGAUUUGUCUGGUUUAUUCCGAUAACGAGCGAGACUCUAACCUACUAAAUAGCUGGUACAUAAUUUAAGUGUAUACAGCUUCUUAGAGGGAUUUGCGGUGUUCAGCCGAAAGAAAUUGAGCAAUAACAGGUCUGUGAUGCCCUUAGAUGUCCGGGGCUGCACGAUGCUACACUGGCAAAAUCAACGUGCUUGUAAAGAAUUCAAAUUAUUCUUUAUCAAGCUACGGCAACAAAUUGAAAUAAUUGUUGUCGGCAAACUCAAAAUUUAAUUUAAACUUAAUUUAUUUUAAAUUAAAAAAUUCUUUUUUCCAAAGAUUUAAUUUUAUUAAAAAAAUAUAUUUUUUAAAAAAUGGUAAACAAGAAGGUGAAUAAUAAUGGUUUUGGCUUUUCUUUUAUAUAAAAGCCAAGCGGGAAAAAAUGCAGAAAGGCGAUAAAGAGAGGGAACAUAG
Molecule: ribosomal RNA, 1736 nt
Filed under: Meloidogyne arenaria
Lineage: Eukaryota; Metazoa; Nematoda; Chromadorea; Rhabditida; Meloidogynidae
Description: SSU rRNA
Rfam family: Eukaryotic small subunit ribosomal RNA
Source: RNAcentral